GAUGAACGCUAGCGGCAGGCCUAAUACAUGCAAGUCAAGGGGAUAGCAAUAUCACCGGCGGACGGGUGCGUAACGCGUACACAACGUGCCCAAGGGCGGAGGAAAGCGGCGGGAAACUGCCGGUAAUACUCCAUGGUGUUGUUGAGUGGCAUCACUUAACAACUAAAGUACAAGCGCCCUUGGAUCGGUGUGCGUUCGAUUAGCUAGUUGGCGGGGUAACGGCCCACCAAGGCUUCGAUCGAUAGGGGGUGUGAGAGCAUGACCCCCCACACGGGUACUGAGACACGGACCCGACUCCUACGGGAGGCAGCAGUAAGGAAUAUUGGACAAUGGGCGGAAGCCUGAUCCAGCCAUGCCGCGUGAAGGACGAAGGCGCUCAGCGUUGUAAACUUCUUUUGGAUGGGAACAAUAACUCCGACUUGUCGGAACUUGAGGGUACCAUCAGAAUAAGCACCGGCUAACUCCGUGCCAGCAGCCGCGGUAAAGUCUGUACU
Molecule: ribosomal RNA, 494 nt
Filed under: uncultured bacterium
Lineage: Bacteria
Description: bacterial SSU rRNA
Rfam family: Bacterial small subunit ribosomal RNA
Source: RNAcentral